RNAcentral lists this ribosomal RNA (723 nucleotides) under uncultured Lactococcus sp. RNAcentral's name for it is "bacterial SSU rRNA". It matches the Rfam family "Bacterial small subunit ribosomal RNA", at positions 1 to 732 of the family's 1533-position model. Lineage: Bacteria; Bacillati; Bacillota; Bacilli; Lactobacillales; Streptococcaceae. The record is from RNAcentral.
CGCCCUUAGAGUUUGAUCAUGGCUCAGGACGAACGCUGGCGGCGUGCCUAAUACAUGCAAGUUGAGCGUUGGUACUUGUACCAAGAGCAGCGAACGGGUGAGUAACGCGUGGGGAAUCUGCCUUUGAGCGGGGGACAACAUUUGGAAACGAAUGCUAAUACCGCAUAAAAACUUAACACAAGUUUAAGUUGAAAGAUGAUUGCAUCACUCAAAGAUGAUCCCGCGUUGUAUUAGCUAGUUGGUGAGGCAAAGGCUCACCAAGGCGAUGAUACAUAGCCGACCUGAGAGGGUGAUCGGCCACAUUGGGACUGAGACACGGCCCAAACUCCUACGGGAGGCAGCAGUAGGGAAUCUUCGGCAAUGGACGAAAGUCUGACCGAGCAACGCCGCGUGAGUGAAGAAGGUUUUCGGAUCGUAAAACUCUGUUGGUAGAGAAGAACGUUGGUGAGGAAACUCAUCAAGUGACGGUAACUACCCAGAAAGGGACGGCUAACUACGUGCCAGCAGCCGCGGUAAUACGUAGGUCCCGAGCGUUGUCCGGAUUUAUUGGGCGUAAAGCGAGCGCAGUGGUUUAUUAAGUCUGGUGUAAAAGGCAGUGGCUCAACCAUUGUAUGCAUUGGAAACUGGUAGACUUGAGUGCAGGAGAGGAGAGUGGAAUUCCAUGUGUAGCGGUGAAAUGCGUAGAUAUAUGGAGGAACACCGGUGGCGAAAGCGGCUCUCUGG